This 431-nucleotide ribosomal RNA is filed under the name uncultured bacterium. Its description in RNAcentral is "bacterial SSU rRNA". It matches the Rfam family "Bacterial small subunit ribosomal RNA", at positions 29 to 506 of the family's 1533-position model. The record is from RNAcentral.
GCGAACGCUGGCGGCAGGCUUAACACAUGCAAGUCGAACGGGCCCUUCGGGGUCAGUGGCAGACGGGUGAGUAACACGUGGGAACGUGCCCUUCGGUUCGGAACAACUCAGGGAAACUUGAGCUAAUACCGGAUACGCCCUUCGGGGGAAAGAUUUAUCGCUGAAGGAUCGGCCCGCGUCUGAUUAGCUAGUUGGUGAGGUAAUGGCUCACCAAGGCGACGAUCAGUAGCUGGUCUGAGAGGAUGAUCAGCCACACUGGGACUGAGACACGGCCCAGACUCCUACGGGAGGCAGCAGUGGGGAAUAUUGGACAAUGGGCGCAAGCCUGAUCCAGCCAUGCCGCGUGUGUGAUGAAGGCCUUAGGGUUGUAAAGCACUUUCGUCCGGGACGAUAAUGACGGUACCGGAAGAAGAAGCCCCGGCUAACUUCGU